AACGCUGGCGGCGUGCCUWAUACAUGCAAGUCGAGCGGACAGAAGGGAGCUUGCUCCCGGAUGUUAGCGGCGGACGGGUGAGUAACACGUGGGUAACCUGCCUGUMAGACUGGGAUAACUCCGGGAAACCGGAGCUAAUACCGGAUAGUUCCUUGAACCGCAUGGUUCAAGGAUGAAAGACGGUUUCGGCUGUCACUUACAGAUGGACCCGCGGCGCAUUAGCUAGUUGGUGGGGUAAUGGCUCACCAAGGCGACGAUGCGUAGCCGACCUGAGAGGGUGAUCGGCCACACUGGGACUGAGACACGGCCCAGACUCCUACGGGAGGCAGCAGUAGGGAAUCUUCCGCAAUGGACGAAAGUCUGACGGAGCAACGCCGCGUGAGUGAUGAAGGUUUUCGGAUCGUAAAGCUCUGUUGUUAGGGAAGAACAAGUGCGAGAGUAACUGCUCGCACCUUGACGGUACCUAACC
RNAcentral lists this ribosomal RNA (469 nucleotides) under Bacillus pumilus. Its description in RNAcentral is "bacterial SSU rRNA". It matches the Rfam family "Bacterial small subunit ribosomal RNA", at positions 32 to 484 of the family's 1533-position model. Lineage: Bacteria; Bacillati; Bacillota; Bacilli; Caryophanales; Bacillaceae. The record is from RNAcentral.